AGCAGGAUCAUUCUUGGAAGAAAUAUUCAUUGUAUUUCUUUUGAAAAUUAAGUAGUACCAUCAUUGCGCUUUAUGUGUGGUGAUUUGGGAAUCCUCCUAAGACAGCGGCAGCGUCAAACCUGCUAGCUACGUCUCCUUCUCACCGUGUCUGUGUCUCGCUUCGGCUCGAGUUAUCAGGCUGGUGGGCGGUUGGGCAACACAGGGCGCGGGGGAUGCUGCUCUCCAACCGUUCGAAACAACGCUCAACGAUGGAUAUCUCGGCUUGGUGAUCGAUGAAGGACGCAGCAAAGUGCGACAAGUGUCAUGACUUGCAGAUACCCGAGAGCUGACAAAUUUCUGAAUGCAAAUUGCAGCCAAGUUAACCUGGCUAUACACUGCAGAGAGUACUUCGCGUAUGCGCUUACUCCAGGGUUUCAACCAAAAGCACUUGACCUUGGGACCUGCACGAUUGAAUCCCUGUUGACGUCUCUGCUCGCAGAGUGCCCAGGUUCUCUCGUGUUAAAGUCAGAAAACCAUUGAGUUUUCCUGAUCAUCUAACUGAGAAAAAGAGUUUAAUCUCUUACCCUCUCACCUCUCACCUCUGCAAUGUAGGAGAACCCGCUGAACUUAAGCAUAUCAUUGAGCGGAGGACAAGAAAACAACUGUGAUUCCCUGAGUAACUGCGAGUGAAUAGGGAGGAGCCUAUGCUUGAACCUGGUGUGGAUGGAAUCGGAAACACCGGAAUUGUAGUGCAAGGGUGUGCAAAGGUUUGUGCUAGUCGGAAGAAUCGCUCAGGAACGAGCAACCAAUGAGGGCUAUCGUCCCGUACCCUCCGACGCAGCCAGGCCAAUUUUGCGCUCCCCAAGAGUCGGGCAGUUUGAGAAUGCUGUCCAAAACCGCAGGUGUACUCCUGCGAAGGCUAAAUAUUCCACCAAGACCGAUAGCGAACAAGUAGUGUGAACGAAAGAUGAAAAGUACUUUGAAAAGAGAGUGAAAAGUCCUUGACAUUGUUGGGCGCAAAGGGUAUGAGACCCAUUGUAUGCUUUUGCUUUUCAGCGAGGGCUGUCAACGCGGGUUUCUGGCUUCUGCAGGAGGUGACCUGCUUUCUCGUUUCGGCGUGAGAGAGACACCUCUGUUGCAGUAAGUUGGAGACUUGGCAGAAUCUCUUAGCCGACGUAUUCUGAUUUUGAUUGUGUUUGUGCUGCCGAAGCGUCUUCUUUCGUGGAGGGCCUUCACGGUACCAGCAUCGUCACCAGGUUGCGUCGAGCUGAGGAAUCGUUGACCAUUUAAUGGUCUCUUACCACCCGUCUUGAAACACGGACCAAGGAGUCUACCGAAUGUGCGAGUGUUAUGGUGAUUGAAACCAAACGACGCACAAUGAAAGUGAAGCCUGUGAACCGCGACGGAGAUCGUCGUUGGUGCAACAGGGCUCGGUCCUUAUCAGAAGAAAGGGAUCUGAAGUUGAGCACAUUCGCUGGGACCCGAAAGAUAGCGAGCUUUUCCUGGGCCGAAGGAAGCCAGGGGAAACCUUGGUGGACGUUCGAAUGCAGUGCUGACGUGCAAAUCGCUUGUCAGAUCUGGGUAAAGGGGCGAAAGACUCAUCGAGCUAUCUAGUAGCUGGUUCCCUC
This 1607-nucleotide unclassified non-coding RNA is filed under the name uncultured fungus. RNAcentral describes it as "sequence contains 18S rRNA gene, ITS1, 5.8S rRNA gene, ITS2, 28S rRNA gene". The stretch from base 575 to 1607 matches the Rfam family "Eukaryotic large subunit ribosomal RNA", at positions 1 to 961 of the family's 3401-position model. The record is from RNAcentral. Lineage: Eukaryota; Fungi.